CAUCUACAGCGGGCCUCUACCUUUAUAUCAAGUCCUUGGCUUGACUCUACUUCCGAUGAAGCUGAAUGAACUUGUAGAAGGAACACGCCGUGUGAAGUUAAGUGAAAUUUUGAAGAUAGUAUCAUUCUUGAGCUAAACCAACUACUUAGGUGUUCACGAUAAUUAAAGACUCAACCAAGUCGUCUGAUAGACUUAAGAGGAAAUAAACAUUUACAUGUCAGGAAAUCAAGGAAAAAUAGUGAAAGCCCUAUCCCACAUCAAAUUUCUUUUAUGUCAUGUGGUCUUACAACAAAAUCAUAAACAAUAAAUGAAUGAUUGAAAGAAAAAAUUAUAGGAGAUAAUAGUAUACUACACAUAGAGAUAUCCAACAUGAGAGGGAAUCUGGAGGGCACUCCAGUAAUCAUAACUGUUUGUCAUUCUAAACAAAAAAAAAAAAAAAAAAAAAAAAAGCAAACUUAACAGUUACUCCGAAAAAAUGACUGCCUUCCCAAUACCAACUGAAAGUUGUGAAAACAGAUCCAACACAAUUGUUAAGGAAGCAAAGAGGGGAAGAAAAUUUGUUCGAAUAAGCUCUUAGCUGGUGGAAAAUUCCACAUGACAAAAAAAGAAAGCCCAGCUCCCAAAAAUUCAUAAGGCUUUCAGAUAUUGACCAGAAAAGUAAGUUUCCCAACAUGAAUCAUUAAUAAAACAUGCAUAGGGCGGCUCAAAAAUCCUUUAUAUUGACAAGCAUCUAAAUUUCAAAGCACAGGUAGUAAAACACUAACCUUGAGGGUUUCAGUAACGGGAACUUUGCCCCUCAAAGCCUAUACUAUUAUUGAUGCAGAUGCUUGAACUCAUGGCAGUUGGCUCCAACGUCAGUUAAUGCUGAGAAAAGCCUUGGCAUAAUCUUAGCUAAUAUCAAUUUGAAACCAACUGAAGUUGAAUUUGCAUUGUCGCCUUCACUUAUGGAAGCAUCUUUACUAAGAGAACCUAUUAAGUAGCCUUUCAUAUGGGCAUCACAGGCCUUCAAGAUGUAGUAGCCACGCUUUCUGAAAUGCUCUUUCACAAGAUCUUCAAAGUCCU
RNAcentral lists this long non-coding RNA (1062 nucleotides) under Carica papaya (papaya). RNAcentral's name for it is "long non-coding RNA (CPAP_LNC011191)". Lineage: Eukaryota; Viridiplantae; Streptophyta; Magnoliopsida; Brassicales; Caricaceae. The record is from RNAcentral.